RNAcentral lists this ribosomal RNA (489 nucleotides) under Daphnia sp. G17/1. RNAcentral describes it as "partial 16S ribosomal RNA". It matches the Rfam family "Bacterial large subunit ribosomal RNA", at positions 1794 to 2615 of the family's 2925-position model. The record is from RNAcentral. Lineage: Eukaryota; Metazoa; Arthropoda; Branchiopoda; Diplostraca; Daphniidae.
CCUCGCCUGUUUAUCAAAAACAUCUCUUUUUGAAUAAAUAAAAAGUACCGCCUGCUCAAUGCAUUUUGUAAAUGGCCGCAGUAUUUUGACUGUGCUAAGGUAGCAUAAUCAUUAGUCUUUUAAUUGAAGGCUGGUAUGAAUGGUGAGACGAGAAAAUAGCUGUCUCUGAAAUAGAUUUUGAAUUUUAUUUUUAAGUGAAAAAGCUUAAAUGCGUUUGGGGGACGAUCAGACCCUCUGGAGCUUUAUUUAUCCUCUUAUUUACACUUAUUUAAGAUUAUGAAAUAGUCGGGUAAAUUUUGUUGGGGCGACAGGAAGAUUAAAAUAACACUUCUUUUUUAAAACGCUUUUAAGCGAAAUAUUGAUCCUUAGGGAGAGAUUAAAAGAUUAAGUUACCCUAGGGAUAACAGCGUAAUCUUUAAACACAUACAUGAUCUGUGAUCAGACCCGACCCCGCCCGUUAUCAAAAACACAUACGUGAUCUGAGUCAGA